Molecule: unclassified non-coding RNA, 336 nt
Organism: Erinaceus europaeus (western European hedgehog)
Lineage: Eukaryota; Metazoa; Chordata; Mammalia; Eulipotyphla; Erinaceidae
Gene: 7SK
Rfam family: 7SK RNA
About the family: 7SK was discovered as an abundant small nuclear RNA in the mid-70s but a possible function has only recently been suggested. Two independent studies have found that 7SK RNA binds the CDK9/cyclin T complex (known as elongation factor P-TEFb).
Source: Ensembl
GGUAAUUGCGUUAAGGCUGCGACAUCUGUCACCCCCAUUGAUAGCCAGGGUUGAUUCGGCUGAUCUGGCUGGCUAGGCAGGUGUCCCCUUCCUACCUCACUGCUCCAUAUGCGAACCUCCUGAAGCUGUGUGCUCACUAGGUCGAAGAGGAUGGCUUUCCCCAAAUAGAGACGGACCGGUCUUCAGUGGAGGGCAUACGAAUAGCUGCGCUCCACUGCUAGAACUUCCAAACAAGCUCUCAAGUCCAUCUUUAUUUUUUUAAAUAUCCUUUGUGAGUCUAAAGAAUUACCAUACCUGAGAACUGAUUAUUUAUACUGAAAUUCACUGUAUAUAGUU